GCCGGAGUGGCGGAAUGGCAGACGCAGAGGACUCAAAAUCCUCCGAGGGCAACCUUGUGUGGGUUCGAAUCCCACCUCCGGCACCA
Molecule: transfer RNA, 86 nt
Filed under: Acidobacteriota bacterium
Lineage: Bacteria; Pseudomonadati; Acidobacteriota
Also listed under: 2 other names
Description: tRNA-Leu
Rfam family: tRNA
About the family: Transfer RNA (tRNA) molecules are approximately 80 nucleotides in length.
Source: RNAcentral